Non-coding RNA from Podospora didyma, 97 nucleotides. The record is from the annotation of a GenBank genome assembly. NCBI's taxonomy places the organism in Eukaryota, Fungi, Ascomycota, Sordariomycetes, Sordariales, Podosporaceae.
GGGCGAAUGGUCUAGUGGUAUGAUUUCUGUUUCGCAUUCCUUCUCCGCGAGAGAACUGCCCUACAGAAGGUCCCACGUUCAAUCCACGGUUCGUCCA